This 4597-nucleotide long non-coding RNA is filed under the name Homo sapiens (human). RNAcentral's name for it is "HSALNT0038305". Lineage: Eukaryota; Metazoa; Chordata; Mammalia; Primates; Hominidae. The record is from RNAcentral.
AAUUGCAGUCCUUGUGUCUUAGACUGCUUUUCAAGUUUACCUAGGACCCCAAAGUACUUCAGCCCAUGCUGGCAAGGUUUGCUGAGAAACUCAAAUUCUGACUGCUGGAAUGGGGCAAUUCCCCUCUGGCUAGGGCUGGUCCAACUUCUUCCAUGCACAGGCACUGGCUGAUCCCAGUGUGGCUUUAUUCUCUACUGUGACAGGACAUUACUGAGUUCAAUGUAAAGUCCCCCAGUCGCUGAGCUCUCCUUCCCCAAAGGGCACAGAUUGUCUUUCUGCACUGCACAGUCAUUGUCCAGAGGUGGGAGAAAGGGCAUUGGCAAUUCAAGACUGUCUAUCUUGCCCUCCUCAAUGCCUCUUUUGACAAUAUGAAGUUAAAACCAGGUACUGUGAUUGCUCACCUGAUUUUGGUUCUUGUGAUGUUGCUUUUCUGUGUGGAGGUAGUUGUUAAAAUUUGGUGUUUUAGCAGGGGAGAACAAUGGUGUAGGCUUCUGUUUUGUCAUCUUGCUCCAUCCUCUCUCCUUGGGUAUUUUACAUUACAAUUUAAUUUCCAUAGAAAUUAUAGGGCUGUUCAGACGAGAUCGGGCACAUUCCGGGUGGUAUGGCCGUAGGCUAUAGGCCUAUUCAAAUGGUCUAUUUCAUAUUGGGUCUGCCGUGAUAUCUCCUGUUUCAUUCCUGCAUCGUUAGAUAUUCUGGCAUCUCUGGCAUCUUGAUGUUAUCACUAAAAAACAAAACAGGCAUAGAGCCAGAAGAGCAAAGAAAGCAGCAAAGAGGUCCAUCCACUUAUGAGAGAACUGAAUAAAUAGCCAGAAGAUGGAAAACAAGGGAAAUAAAUGAUGACAAAGUAGAGAAAGAGACAGACCAACUACACGAAGAAGUUUGCUUCCAAGGAAAUCCUUCUCCAGUGACCAGAGGAAUGACCAGCUCCCCACCUUCUCACUGUCCAGCAGUCCCUGCUAACCCACAGAUCUCUGAUACCAUGCCAAAUUAAAUGGUGACAGUGGAAAUCCUUGUCUUAUUUCUGGUGAUGAAGAUUAGGUUCUUCAAUGCGGACACUGAGGUGAAGUUGGUGGUGCAAGAUGAGAGGAAGCUGGCUUACGGCACAGGGAGAAGCUGAACUUCGGUGCAACUCCCACAAACCUUAGCCAACUUGGUGGGGAGCUUUGGUGCCAAUAUUUCCUGUUGAAGUAGUCCUGUCUUGGACUUCUCAGCAUUGUACUAGGCCCUUAAGCACCCUCUUCAAUCAGUUAUUAGAUACAAGACAGCUCAGGAAGACCGUGGCAUUAGGACAGGCAGCUCUCUGCAGCUGAGGCAGCCCCGGUAGGAGCUGACAGCUGAAGAUUGUCUGGAAACUGUACCACCUACCACCAGGCAGUGAGUCCUUCUCCGAAAAAGGAUCUGGGUCAGAUGGAUGCUCAUUAACUUUCACGCACCUUUGUUUUCUCACAUACACAUCAAGUCUGUGAAUGUCCUUCUAAUCUCUGCUUUAUGUGUAUUACACAGUUCUGCGAUGUGUUUUUGUUAGUAUUCAGUACAAACACAUUUAAAAACAUUUGUCAUUAUGAUUUCUUUUUUGACACAUAGAUAUAGUUAGAUGUAUUUUUCUUAACUUCUAAAAUGUAUAGUUUUUGCCAGCUAUAUUUUUGUCAUCAGUAUUAGUUUAACUACAACAUGCUUAUAAAUAUAAUCGGCAUGAUUUCAUCAUUUUAAACUUUAUUGAGACUUGCUUUAUGUCCCAAUAGUCAAUUUUGUAAAUGAUAUUCUUCAAAAAAAUGUGUAUUCUGUAGUUGUUAGGUGUUCCUAUUCGAGAGGCUGUAACCAGGGUCUCCAACCACCAGAAAGGAAUGCUAUCUGCUAGUGGCUACUGUGGAUUAUUUUUUCAUUAUCCUCCUUUAAAAUGCAAAUAUCCUUUGGAGUGUUGAGUAAUGAACGUCUUAAAAUUGGGUAUGAGAAUGAACUGAAUUACCGAGGGAGUGGGAUUUGUGGGAAAGGACACACACACUCACACACACUCACACACACACCACUGUUUAUUGCAGGCUUAGUAACAUGCAAGUUUAUUGUGUUCACAUACAUUAUUUCACUGAAUCCCCACAAUAAUUCUGAGAGAAGGGUAUUCUACCCAUUUUAUACAUAGGAAGCUGAGGCUCAAAGAGUUUAAAGAGCUUGCUAAUAUUUGAACUCAGAGGUAUCUGAUACUGGAUUCCAUGCUCUUAAUUGCUAUGUGCCUGUCUCCCCAUAACUAGCCUCAGUUCCUUUAAUACACUAAUUUGGUCAUCUGAUUCACAAUGCAGUUAUCAUUACAUUUGUAAAGGUUUUCUCUGAUUCUAAUGGAUAUUGAAAAGAUAAGUGAUGGCAGAAUCACUUAUUCUUUAAUUUUUAAGCAUUAUCAGUGAAUCAUUAUGUAGACGGCUUAGGCUAUGAGCUCAAGAUUAUGUUAUGAGCUCAAGAAAUGCAAAGGUAAAGAAAACACAGUCCAGUCCAGUAAGAUUGGGAGACAGACAUGUGUACACACAAUGAGAAGUCAUGAAGGGAAGGUGGGCUGGCUGUGGAAUUAGUCACCUUGAAGUCUGUCUAAGGAGAGGGCUGGUAUCAGGGUGUGGACAUUUUACAUUUCUAUCACAGCAUUGUAGUUGAUCUUAGAGACUCCUACCGAAGUUUGGGGAGAAGAGAGGUAAUACAGGGAUUUAUUUUAAAUUUCUUCUUAUAAUUAGGUCAAUUCCAGAAUAUGAGGAAUGAAUGACAGUUCAAACACAGUGUCUGAAAAAGGUAACCACAUUUUGUAAAGAUUCCUUAAAUCAAUAGGUUGAAAUUCCAGUAAUAGAGCUCCAAAAUUUCAGGGGAGCCUAUCCUAUGGGAAAGCAGAGCCCUGUUGCUGGAAAUCCACUAAGCCAUUUACAAGGAGUAAAGAAGGGCUUUCUGAAAUGUUGACUUAGGGACACAGAGCUUAAACUCAGAGCACUUAUUUUCUUCUCUGCUCUCCGGCUUUCUGUCUCUGGCUGCAUCAUUAUUCUUUAUUGACUAUUUCAUAAACUCACAUUCCCUCAGCUUGGUUAAGGAAGGCAGUCUUUAAUCUUGGCGGAGCAGAUAAGGACAAUUAAAUCCUGGGCCUGCUUCCUGACACAGAUGACGGGGCUGCCUUCCUGGAACAUCAUCUUCAUGUCAUGGGUUCUGCUGUCACUUAUUUUGUUCAGAAUGUGUCAGGACAGCUAGCAUGACCUCAGCAUUCCCCUCAGGCUGGUGCUUCUUUAAUGCUGAAUAAAAUGUUCUCCUGGACUCUUUCAGGGUGGAUUUGAGACCCAGCCCUGUGGGCUGAAGGAGGAUGGGUGCAGGUCUGUGAAUCUCUUCUUAAUCUUUCAGCUAGAAAUAACUACUCCUUUCUGUGGUCCUUUUGCAAUUUACUCAUGGCUUCUUUUCUUUUCUUUUACUUCUUUUAUUUUCUUUUAUGAUUGUUCUUACAAUAGCCUGCUUUGAUCUCCACUACGUCUGGUUAUUGGAGAAUACAUCAACUGUUUUGUUGACUCAGCAAUACUUAAUCAAUUCUAAUUUCAGCACUAUUUCUUUUGAAAAUUCCUCUCACCUACUUUUGCCAGUAUAGUAAGGCUAUCAGUUUCAGCAGUAGGUUUCUUUGAUCUCCAGAACAGGUUUAGGAUCCAGGUUUGGCCCAUCAUAGUACACCAUUAUUUUGGCUUCAGUGAUUGGCUCCUCAGUGAAAUCAUGAUCCUAAAGUUGACCAAUCAGAGGUUUUUCCUGGGGAUUUUUAUAUAUGGAUACUGGGGACAGAUGGUAUUUUUUUCCUCUUGUAGUGCAAGCUGAAAGAAUGUGGUUACAAAUCUAAUUAUGGUGAUGCCCUUUAACUUAUGGAUGGGCAUAAGGGAGUGAGGCCAAAAUGCAACUUUAAGCCAAGCGAGAGAUAGAGAGAUGGAGACUGCUAGUCGGGAUGCUGUUUGAAUCCCUGAAUGCAGUCUUUCCUGAGACUAAAUUAUAUUUAGUCUUUUAACCGUAACUGCUAAAAGUAAUUUUUUACUUUUAAACUUAGAAUAUAAGUUCAAAGAGUGAAAGCAGAGAUUUUUCUUUACAUUUUCACUGCUAUAAUUCCAAAUGCCUAGAACAGUGCCUGUCACAUAGUAGGCAGUCAAUUAAUAUUUGCUUAAUGAAUAUUUGCAACUGAAUGAAACAGGAUAAUCAGAGUAUGCAUGUCUUCCUAACUGUUUUAAGGGAUUCUUGGGAAAAAAACCCAGGGAGCAAUUAUCAUAGAGUUGUUGGAAUUAAAGCUAGUUUGUGGGACUGUCCUGAGAAUUUAUUGUUAUUGAAAUUUUUUUAAAUUUUGAAGUGUAACACACAGAAAAGUGCAUAAAGCACAAAUAAGCAGUGUAAUGGGAUUAUUUAUAAAGUGGACCCAUGACCACUAGGUAGUUCAAGAAAUAGAAGGCUUCCAGCCUUCCAGAAGCUUCUCGUAUUUCCCAUCUGGAAUAUUUCCCUCUGUACCAGCCAGAGGUAAACAACAUGCUGAAUUUUAUGGUAAUCACUUCAUUGCUUUGUUUUAUAAUUGUAGCCCCACUAUAUGCAUCACAGGACAAUGCUAUUUAGUUUUGAA